Non-coding RNA from Marmota flaviventris (yellow-bellied marmot), 2705 nucleotides. Lineage: Eukaryota; Metazoa; Chordata; Mammalia; Rodentia; Sciuridae. The record is from RefSeq and is a predicted model, not a curated record.
UUUUUUUUUUUUUUUUUUUUUUUUUUUUUUUUGUCUCUUCUGUUUUUGAUGACAGGUUGAAAGCAUGUUGAAAAAAAUAAAUAUUUAAGGGAAGCACACACACACAGCACCCUCACUACAAGUGGUUCUAAAAGGGCCGCGUACAAAACAACAGGAUCUAAACAAAAGACAACCACUAGAAAGUAUGGCUUCUUAAAGAGCUGCACAUGUCACAAAAUGAGCUGAAGAUUAUCUUUCAUAAUAUUGCAAAAAGUUCCAGUUUUGCAUUUUCUCAGUUUUCUUUCUUAAAAAGGAAGAUGUGCAAAGUUGGAAGCAUAGCUGUGUCCCGAGUCAGGCCCUGGAGAGUCCUGGCAGCAUCCUAUUGCCCAGACCCAGAGUCCAAACAACCUGGCCAGGAUCCAGAGCUCCCUACAAAAAUCAUGGUUUCCCUAUUCACAUACCCCCACCACCAUGGACUGUAUCUUCCACUUUGGUGUUGCAAACACCAAGGUAUAAACAGACACAAACAACAACAAAAAUACAAAAUGUGAAAUGUAAUCUACACAUUAUUUUCCUCUUCAUAAAAAAAUAUUUAUUAGUUUGAACAUUGAUUAAAAAAAAAUCAGUCACAUAAAAAAAAAAAAACCUUCAUUACAUACGUCUUUUCCCUCCAUGCCUCCUGAGAUGGAUGUGUUCAUCUGGGUUUGAAAUUCCACUCUCCAACUAGCAAACUGAGAACAGCGGACCUGCCACACAGCAGACGGGGAAGAUGGUGGACAGAUUGGGACCCUUGGUUUUCCGGCAGGGAGGUGAAGCAGCACACUGCAGCAAGGACACCCACCUCCAGUGUUAGCAGCAACGAUGGCAGGAGUCCGGCUGCAGCCCGUCCCAAGAGGGGUCAGCAGGAGCCCUGGAGCAAGCCCAGGGUGGACAAGGGGCCCAGGCUCUCUAAGGAAGUGCACCCAGAGCUGAGGCCCUCAUGGCAGAACUGUUUUGGGCCUGAGAUGGGGAGCCUGGCCAGGGGUCUCCUCCCUGACUGAGGAGUCCUGCAUGGAAGGAGCUGCGGCCUCCUCAGGCCCCGCCCUCCAGGACCACCCGAGAGAGCACCUGGAGCCCUGGAUCUCGAGGAUCUGCAGCUGCUUUGUUAAGCACCAAAGCCCAGAGGUAAGAGGAUGGCAGGGCUUUCUGUGCACCAGACCUGGGUUCUACAGGCUGCCACUGUGUGGCAGGAGCCAAGAGGGCAAAGGGCCACUGCGGGGUCACAGGCAGCCACCUGGCUGCAGGGCUUGAGCAGUGCUGCGGACGGAUGCAGCUCGGUGUAUGCAAAACUCUCAACAUGGACUCAGACCUGUGGCCUCGAGGAUGAGCUCAUGCCCCUGGCCAGCCUGGCCAGCCUGCAUCCAGGGUCUGGCCAGCCACAGAGGGCUCCUUUGAUGCUCUGGAGGCACGCCCCAGACCAGACCCGUCACACACCCGCAGGCACCUGCUGGGGACUCCAGGCAUCCCAGGACAGGCAGGAGCAUGCGCUCUCCCUUGACCGCAAGGCCAUGGCCGGUGUCUGUGGGAGUGGGGCUGGUUGCAGGGAGGACCAGAGGAGGGGCAGAGAAGGGCGCUGCGAAGGGCGCUGCCCUGCCGUCGGGUGUUGAGACCCACUAAGACACACACACAGGUGGACGGAACGACGCAGCCACCACCCCACCAUCAGACCCUGCCCACUGGGGCAGGGCCUAGGAGAUCCAGGCGAAGUCCUUUUCAGGCCCUGCAGUGGGGCUGCGGGGGCCCUGUGGUGAAAAGGCACAGCUCCCUCCCCCAGCUGGAGCCUGAGGUCGACUGAGAGCCUAGGACAGAGAUCAGCAACUGAGGUCAGCAGAAGAGGCACAUUGGCCAGGAAGGGACAGGAUCAGUGCCCCUUACCAGGGCUAUGCCUGACAGGGAGCAACAGCAUUUGGGAGAGGGUCCUCCAGAGAGCAGGACACAAAGGCCCUAGGACCUGAGGACACACAGACGGGAUGCCUUCUGCAGAAGGGGACAGGAUGCCUGCUGCUGUUUGGAACCUGUGGAGACUUCAGCAUGGGCACUGGAGUCUGUGGAGAAGCACAGCACCCCUGGCUAACUUGAGGAGGGCUUGGAGGGAUUGGUCACAACCAAGCCCGGACCCUACUUUUCAAGAACAAAGGCCAGUGGGCCCACACGUGGCAAGCUACCUGUGAGCCUCGGUCCACCCUCUGGUUGGACCUGGUGCUAGCCACGCUUCUGCCCUCAAGGGCCAGCAGCCUCCCCAGUCCUCCAGGCUCUCUCGGCCCCUCUGUGUCCAUGUGCAAGAGCUGGAGCUGUGUGACAGCUGCACACAGGGAGGGAGCUGUCCAGGGGGUGUCUGAAGCCAGCUCUCCACAGCCUGCAAGAAAGUCCUGUCACACAGAGACUGCAGCCAGGCUGAGGGGGAGGGGGUCCUGCUGGGGUGGCUGAGAGCGUCCCAGGCUCAUGUGUUGAAGGCACGGUCCCCGACGCAGCAGUAGUCAGAGGUGGGGCCUCUGGGAGGGGCUCACCCUGAGGGUCCGGACCUCCUCAGUGGCUGGGUCCUGGAUGGUGAACGCACUACCUGAGGUGGGGCUGGCUGGAGGAGGGUCUCUGGGGCAUGCCCUGGGAGGCUUCCCCGCUGUGGAGUCGGCCCACCAUGGACUGAAUCCUCUGAAACCAUGAGUCACAAUAAACUUUUCCUCUUCUAA